GCCGGGCGCGGUGGUGCGUGCCUAUAGUCUCAGCUACUUGGGAAGCUGAGGUGGGAGGAUCGCUUGAGCUCAGGAGUUCUGGGCUGUAGUGCGCUAUGCAGAUCGGGUGUCCGCACUAAGUUCGGCAUCAAUAUGGUGACCUCCCGGGAGCAGGGGACCACCAGAUUGCCUAAGGAGGGGUGAACCAGCCCAGGUUGGAAAUGGAGCAGGUCAAAACUCCCGUGCUGAUCAGUAGUGGGAUCGUGCCUGGGAAUAGCCACUGCACUCCAGCCCGGGCAACAUAGCGAGACCCCAUCUCU
This is an unclassified non-coding RNA of Aotus nancymaae (Ma's night monkey), 299 nucleotides long. It matches the Rfam family "Metazoan signal recognition particle RNA". Rfam says of the family: The signal recognition particle (SRP) is a universally conserved ribonucleoprotein. It is involved in the co-translational targeting of proteins to membranes. Lineage: Eukaryota; Metazoa; Chordata; Mammalia; Primates; Aotidae. The record is from Ensembl.